This 253-nucleotide ribosomal RNA is filed under the name uncultured bacterium. RNAcentral's name for it is "partial 16S ribosomal RNA". It matches the Rfam family "Bacterial small subunit ribosomal RNA", at positions 524 to 776 of the family's 1533-position model. The record is from RNAcentral.
UACGUAGGGGGCUAGCGUUGUCCGGAAUCAUUGGGCGUAAAGCGCGUGUAGGCGGUCCGGUAAGUCCGCUGUGAAAGUCGGGGGCUCAACCCUCGGAUGCCGGUGGAUACUGUCGGGCUUGAGUACGGAAGAGGCGAGUGGAAUUCCUGGUGUAGCGGUGAAAUGCGUAGAUAUCGGAAGGAACACCAGUGGCGAAAGCGGCUUCCUGGUCCAGCACCGACGUUCAGGCACGAAAGCGUGGGGAGCAAACAGG